AUGAUACGCGAGGAACUAACCUGGGCUCGAACGUAAGAUGACUGUAGGUGAAAGCUUACAUCUCUUCGGAGCAUUUUACGAGGUGCUGCAUGGUUGUCGUCAGCUCGUGCCGUGAGGUGUCGGGUUAAGUCCCAUAACGAGCGCAACCCCUACCCUUUAGUUGCCAUCAGGUAAUGCUGGGGACUCUAAAGGAACUGCCUACGCAAGUAGUGAGGAAGGCGGGGAUGACGUCAAAUCAGCACGGCCCUUACGUCCAGGGCUACACACGCGCUACAAUGGCCGAUACAGAGGGCAGCUACCUGGUGACAGGAUGCAAAUCUCCAAAGUCGGUCUCAGUUCGGAUCGGAGUCUGCAACCCGACUCCGUGAAGUUGGAUUCGCUAGUAAUCGCGCAUCAGCCAUGGCGCGGUGAAUACGUUCCCGGGCCUU
RNAcentral lists this ribosomal RNA (428 nucleotides) under uncultured Sphingobacteriales bacterium. Its description in RNAcentral is "bacterial SSU rRNA". It matches the Rfam family "Bacterial small subunit ribosomal RNA", at positions 954 to 1382 of the family's 1533-position model. The record is from RNAcentral. Lineage: Bacteria; Pseudomonadati; Bacteroidota; Sphingobacteriia; Sphingobacteriales.